AGUGAACGCUGGCGGUAGGCCUAACACAUGCAAGUCGAACGGCAGCACAGGAGAGCUUGCUCUCUGGGUGGCGAGUGGCGGACGGGUGAGGAAUACAUCGGAAUCUACUUUUUCGUGGGGGAUAACGUAGGGAAACUUACGCUAAUACCGCAUACGACCUACGGGUGAAAGCAGGGGACCUUCGGGCCUUGCGCGAUUGAAUGAGCCGAUGUCGGAUUAGCUAGGUGGCGGGGUAAAGGCCCACCAAGGCGACGAUCCGUAGCUGGUCUGAGAGGAUGAUCAGCCACAAUGGAACUGAGACACGGUCCAGACUCCUACGGGAGGCAGCAGUGGGGAAUAUUGGACAAUGGGCGCAAGCCUGAUCCAGCCAUACCGCGUGGGUGAAGAAGGCCUUCGGGUUGUAAAGCCCUUUUGUUGGGAAAGAAAUCCAGCUGGCUAAUACCCGGUUGGGAUGACGGUACCCAAAGAAUAGGCACCGGCUAACUUCGUGCCAGCCGCCGCAGUAA
Molecule: ribosomal RNA, 506 nt
Filed under: uncultured bacterium
Lineage: Bacteria
Description: partial 16S ribosomal RNA
Rfam family: Bacterial small subunit ribosomal RNA
Source: RNAcentral